CCAUCACAUCAACCCACCACGAUUUGAACCCUUCUCCCUAACGCCAUCGACCUCUACCUUCUGCCGUCCCAAAUUUCACCCCGACAAGAUCACCAAACCAGCCAUAUACCGUUGUCCCACUACAAUUACAAUACAUUCCUAAUACUGCCAUUGUCACCACUUUUCUCAGUCCAGUCCACCAUAGCCAAUGGACUGCCAUAUCCACUCCCACCUGCUGCCCUUUUCUUUCCCAGAUAAUCACAACUUGCUGGGUUCUUCGUCAUUACUACAGCUACUAUUUUCUAGCCAUUCUUCUGUCAAUUGAAGCUGCUGCUCACCCACUGCUCCAGUUCCACAUCAUUUGCCGCCACCUGUCCCUGGUUCAUUGCAACAUCACUUUCUGCCAGGCAAAUUGGUGUCCCACGAUCUGCUGCCUAUUCACUCUGCCAUUGCUGCUAUCCGACAUCAGAAACAUCGAGCCCAACCGCUGUAGAAUUGAGUCUAGUUGCUGUUCUUCUCUGCUAUCCCCGCCUUUACAUGCACUGCGCCAUUCCUGCCGGCAUCACCAUUUCCGGUUAGCUCUCCAGUGUGAGGUAAGGAUUUAUUUCUGCUUUUUGAUACUUGAUCUUUUAUUUAAGUGCAUUUCGUUUAUUUAAUUUGAUUUAGCUUUAGUUUCAAUCCAGAAAUUAAUGUUCAUUUUUCACUACAACCUUCACACAAUUUUCAACUAAUUAUAAUACAUAAUGAAUCUAAAGGAUCUUAACAAAUCUCAUGAUACACUCUCAUAGCAAGUCACUAAUCUCUCAUUUAACACACUGUGAUCUAGCUGAGCUUAAAACUCUCAUCCAAAACUUUACCGAUCAGACUGGGCAAUCAUCUCAGAACCCGAGUAAACGUCCUAUGCAUGAUUUAUUCGAUUCCUCCAUAGUUGGUCAAAACAUCCACGAACCACUCCUCCACAUCCCAGAUGGCAUACUACCUAAUCCAAACAAUCUUGGCACUACACAUCACAUUUCUUAUUCGAAACUUCAUGACCCAGUUGUUAAUAGUGUCCCUUGUCCUGAUUUCCCACAUCCACCCCACACUUACAUUAUGAACAACACAUGGAUCUUGUUGAUGAUGUUACUAGAAAGUCAAAGUUGACGCCCCAAAAUUUGAUGGUCGCCUGGAACCCAAGCCUUUCUUGAUUGGCAUGAUGCCAUCGAAGAAUACUUCGAUUGGUACCAAAUGCCUAAUUAUCAGCGUAUUCGUUUCUCCAAGAUGAAACUUGUUAAAUCUGCUAAACGUUAUUGGCAAAUGGUGAUACAAUCCCUCGAUCACCUAGGCCAGUCUAUUACUACAUGGGGAGAAAUGAAACUAAAAUUCACUAAGAACUACUUCCCGUCUUACCAUCGUUCUCAACUGUUGGAACGUUUUCUUAACCAUAGGCAAAACUCAACUACCAUGUCAGACUACAGGACUUGUUUUGACGAGUUAUGGUAUCGUUCAGGCUUUGCUGAACCUGAGGACGUCACAAUUACUAGGUUCCUUAAUAGCCUGUGCCUAGAUCUCAAACAUCACGUCCUUAUACUCAAUCCCGACUCAUUAGAGGAUGCUUUUCACAAAGGACUCGAACACGAGCGAUACUCCCGUUCUUCAUAUUUGCAGCAUGGCCCUCCCACCUUACUUGACCCAUGUCUCUCUUGACCCCAUCUGACUGGUGCUCCUACUAGUAGCCCUACAUUGAGGUAGACCCACUUGACUGUGGGAUCUUCUCCUAUUCCCAUUCCUCGCAACCUUUAUCGGGGUCAACCCGUUUCUCCAGCUACCACUUGAGGUCUUAACCCUCAAAUUGUUUUCUAUAACUGUCAUGCUCGAGGUCAUAUUGUCUCUCAAUGUUCCAAUCGUGCCCUCGCCCUUGCAUAAGAGCCUUUACUUCCAACCCUAGAGAAUGAAUGUUUCACGGUGGACCCUCACCCUAUUGACCAUUUUGAUGAGGAUCUUGACCAAUUUGAGUGUUAUGAGAGAAUAAGGUUGUUGUCUCUGUUAUGAGAUGUAUCAUUUCCACCCUUAUUGAUGCAGACUCAUGGAAGCAAACUUUUCUAUUUUCCAUACAUUCAUCCCAUGUAACUCUCGAUUUUGCAAGUUAGUUAUUGAUAAUGGUAGCACCAUGAAUGUCGUAUCUAAGUCUACGGUGGCCGAAUUUGGCUUCAAGAUCGAAAGGUGGCGUGGAUAGAUCGAACCUCUUUGCCUGUCACUCAUCGCUGUCUCGUACCCCUUAAAUUGGGUCUAUUUUUUUUGGAAGACAUUUGAUGUCUUGCCUAUGGACAUUGCUCACAUCCUUUUGGAUCACCCUUGGCUUUAUGAUCAUGAUGUUAAGCAUUUCGGGCGUAACAACACAUGAAUUUCUCCACGAUGGCAAAACUAUUCGCCUUCUACCGGCCAAACCCUCAGACCUUCCAAAGAAGACAACUUCCAUCUCUACACCCAAGGGUGUUACAGACGGUUGUAUCCAACAAUUGUCUCUUAAAGAUUUUGAAUGUGAAGGUCAAGAUGCUGGACUUAUGUUUGUCGUAGUUGCUAAAGCGUAUUCCCAAACCUCUCUUGAUCCUCCCAUAGACAUCCCACCCGAAGUAACUCCUUUACUCGACGAGUUUAAUGAUAUUAUGCCCGUCGACCUACUUGAUGAGCUUCCUCCUAUGCGGGAUAUUCAACAUGCCAUCAAUCUUGUACAUGGCUUCCAGUUGCCAAAUCAACCCCGUUAUAGAAUAAACCUUACUGAGCGAGCUGAACUCAAUAGGCAAAUUGAAGCUCUACUCAAUAAAGACUUUAUUCGCCCUAGCCUUAGCCCUAGUACUAGUUUUACUCACCCCUAAGAAGGACGGCUCAUGGCGCAUGUGUGUUGAUAGUCGUGCCAUCAACAAAAUGACAGUUAAGUACCGCUUCCCUAUUCCACGACUUGAGGAUAUGUUGGAUGAGUUGGCAGGAUCUUUGUGGUUCUCCAAGAUUGAUCUACGAAGUGGCUCUCAUCAAAUAAAGAUUAGACCCUGAGAUGAAUGGAACACAGCAUUUAAGACCCAAGAUAACUUGUAUGAAUGGUUGGUGAUGCCUUUCGAGUUAUCUAAUGCUCCUAGCACUUUGAUGCGGGUCAUGACUCAUGUCUUACGUCCUUUUAUUGGGAAGUUUCUUGUCGUCUAUUUUGAUGACAUUCUGAUUUAUAGUCGAUCACAAGAAUCUCACUUAGAUCACCUUCAUUAGGACUUUCUUACUCUUCGCUCUGCGCAGUUAUACGCUAACCUAAAAAAGUUUUCAUUUUUCCAGUCCCAUGUAUUCUUCCUAGGGUUCAUCAUUUCAGUACAAAGUAUUUCUUUUGACCCCGCUAAAAUCUCUUUUAUUCGGGAUUGGCCUAUGCCUUCCACAUUAACUGAGAUACGUAGCUUUCAUGGGCUUGUAUCUUCCUAUAGGAGAUUCAUUAAAGGUUUUAGCUCCCUCACUUCUCCCAUCACUGAGUGCAUGAAAAAAAGGGAUUUUCGUUGGACCCUUUCUGCCUAAAAAGCCUUCUUAGCUGUCAGGCAACAAGCUCCCAUUUUACGCCACCCGGAUCUUUCUAAGGUUUUUGAGGUUGCUUGUGAUGCUUUCGGUAUGGGUAUAUGAAGUAUUUUAAGUCAAGAAGGUUAUCCCAUUGCCUUCUUCAGGAAAAAGCUGAACCAAGCUAGGCAGAAGUAUUCUACCUAUGACAAUGAGUUCUAUGCCUUUAUCCAAUCUCUUCGUUAUUGGCGAUUUUACUUAUUGCCUCAGGAGUUUCUUCUAUACUCUAAUCAUUAGGCUCUUUGUUUCCUUCACUCCCAGUUCCAUUUAAGUGAGCGGCAUGUUAAGUGGGUUGAGUUUCUUCAGGAGUACACUUUUGUUCUCCAUCAUCGGGUCGGUGUUAAAAGUAAAAAAAUGACUGAUGCUCUUAGUUGUAUCACUACGGUGCUUGAGUCGAUGAGCACACUGUGGUGGGAUUUGAGCACUUGAAGGACGAUUAUCCUAAUUGUCCUGUCUUUAGCACCAUUUUUAGGACCUUUUGGACAAUCCUUCCCUUAACCAUGAUUCUUUCUUACUUAAAGAUGAUUAUCUUUUCAAAGGUACCAAGUUAUGUAUCCCCUGUACUUCACAUCGUGACUUCUUAGUCUGGGAACUACACGUAGGGGAUCUUGCUAGUCAUUUUAGUUGAGAUAAAACAAUCACCUUAACUGAAGAUCAAUUUUAUUGGCCAUUCCUUAAGAGAGACAUUGCUCGCAUUGUCUCUCAGUGUUGUAUGUUUCAAUUAGGUAAGGUAUGAUGUCAAAAUACUGGGAUGUAUACUAUUUUUCCUAUUUCUCGUACUUCUUAGCGUGACCUUAGUAUGGACUUCAUUCUCGGGUUACCUAAAACAGCUCGGGGUCAUGAUUCCAUUUUUGUGGUGGUCGAUAGGUUUUCUAAAAUGGGACAUUUCAUCCCAUGUUCUAAGUCCUCUGAUGCGUCCUACAUUGUAAAGUUGUUUUUCAACGAAGUUGUCCGUCUCCAUGGCCUGCCAGUUAGUAUCGUGUCGGAUCGUGAUGUCAAGAUUGUUAGUUACCUUUGGAAGAUACUGUGGGAACUCUUUGGGACGGCGCUUAAGUUCUCUUCUGCAUUUCACCUCCAAAUCGAUGGUCAAACUGAAGUUGUAAACCGUAGUUUGGGCAAUCUCCUUCGUUGCUUAGUUGGGGAUAAACUAGGGAAUUGGGAUCUUGUGUUGCCCACCGUUGAGUUUGCUUACAAUAAUUCUGUUAAUAGUCUACCGGUCAUAGUCCCUUUGAGGUUGUUCAAGGUUUCUCUCCUCGCCGGCUGCUUGAUUUAAUCUCCUUGCCUCCCAAUUUUCAUCCUGCUGCCUCUGCUCAAGCUUUUGCUGAUCAUAUUCAUGACUUGCAUGAUAAGAUUAAACGUAAAAUUUCUUUAAGCAAUGAUCAGUAUAAAUUAUCUGCUAAUCCCCACCGUAGGCAUAAGGAAUUUAGCAUUAGUGAUUAUGUCAUGGUCCGACUAGCACCUGACCAUUUCCCUUAACAUGCUGCCAAGAAACUUUGUGCUAGGUCACUAGGGCCUUUUCCCAUCAUUAAACGGCUUGGAACUAAUACUUAUCUACUUGAACUACCACUGCACUUAAAUAUUAGUCUUGUUUUUAAUAAAGCAGAUUUAUAUCCUUAUCGAGGCAUAUUUGAGCCUCUGGUAUUGUUGCCUAACAUUUCUGUAGGACAGUCUUCUGGGCUACCUCCUCGAGCUCAUGUUACCACAUUUUCUCUAGAGGAUGUCAUUGAUGAUGUACUUGGUGAUCAGUUUGUUGCUUCGCAGAAUGGUGGUUUUCAUCGAUUUCUAGUGCGUUGGAAAGGUCGCCCGCCUAGUGAUGCUACUUGGAUUGAUGAAGCUGAGUUUCGUCAACUAGAUGUUAUUCUUUUAGACAGCUAUCUGGAUAAUACCUCGUUGGAGUCAAGUUCUUUUCAACUGAGGAGGAAUGAUGCAAAUUGGAAAGUAUAUUCUAGGUGAAAUCGUAAUCAAAUCAAUUAAAGAUCAAAUUUUCAUUAUUGCUUUCUCUUGUUUUGGUAGAAUAAUAAAUUUGUUUCCUUUUAAACAAAAGGAAAUUCUAGUUUUUCCUUUUAUUACAAUUUUCCUUUUUAUUGUUAUUUGGG
RNAcentral lists this long non-coding RNA (5642 nucleotides) under Olea europaea subsp. europaea. Lineage: Eukaryota; Viridiplantae; Streptophyta; Magnoliopsida; Lamiales; Oleaceae. The record is from RNAcentral.